UACAGAGGGGGCAAGCGUUGUUCGGAAUUACUGGGCGUAAAGGGCGCGUAGGCGGCCCGCUAAGUCGAACGUGAAAUCCCCGAGCUCAACUCGGGAACUGCGUCCGAUACUGGCGGGCUUGAAUCCGGGAGAGGGAUGCGGAAUUCCAGGUGUAGUGGUGGAAUGCGUAGAGAUCGGGAGGAACACCCGUGGCGAAGGCGAUGGCCUGGACCUCGAGCUGACGCUGAGGCGCGAAAGCGUGGGGAGCGAUCCGG
Molecule: ribosomal RNA, 254 nt
Filed under: uncultured bacterium
Lineage: Bacteria
Description: partial 16S ribosomal RNA
Rfam family: Bacterial small subunit ribosomal RNA
Source: RNAcentral